GAUAAGCUUCAUAGUCAAGAGGGAAACAGCCCAGAUCACCAGUUAAGGCCCCUAAAUAAUUAUUAAGUGGUAAAGGAGGUGGGAAGACUCAGACAGCCAGGAGGUUUGCUUAGAAGCAGCAAUCCUUUAAAGAGUGCGUAAUAGCUCACUGGUCUAGUAAUCCUGCGCCGAAAAUGAACGGGACUUAAAUAAUUUGCCGAAGCUGUGAGAUAUUUAUUACAAGUAAAUAUCGGUAGGGGAGCGUUCUGUUGUAGGUUGAAGCAUUAACGUAAGUGGGUGUGGACGAAGCAGAAGUGAGAAUGUCGGCUUGAGUAGCGAAAACAUUGGUGAGAAUCCAAUGCCCCGAAAACCUAAGGUUUCCCCCGGAAGGCUCGUCCGCGGGGGGUGAGUCAGGACCUAAGGCGAGGUCGAAAGACGUAGUCGAUGGACAAUAGGUUAAUAUUCCUAUACCGUUUUUUAUUGGCAACGAGGGACGAAGAAGGCUAAACUUAUCCAGAUAGUGGUCACUGGUCCAAGCAUUCAAGGUUAUGAGAAAUAGUGAAAAUAUUUUGAGCUGAGAUGUGAUGGGGAGAUACUUAGUAUUGAAGUAGUUGAUGUCAUGCUUCCAAGAAAAGCUUGCACUGUCAUAAAUAGAAAACGCCUGUACCCUAAACCGACACAGGUAGGUAGGUAGAGUAUACUAAGGGGCGCGAGAUAACUCUCUCUAAGGAACUCGGCAAAAUAACCCCGUAACUUUGGGAGAAGGGGUACCCUAUGGGUUGCAAUAACAAGGUCCAAGCGACUGUUUAUCAAAAACACAGGUCUCCGCGAAGUCGAAAGACAAUGUAUGGGGGCUG
This 836-nucleotide ribosomal RNA is filed under the name Oxyrrhis marina. RNAcentral's name for it is "partial Bacterial large subunit ribosomal RNA". It matches the Rfam family "Bacterial large subunit ribosomal RNA", at positions 997 to 1854 of the family's 2925-position model. The record is from RNAcentral. Lineage: Eukaryota; Dinophyceae; Oxyrrhinales; Oxyrrhinaceae.